This 420-nucleotide ribosomal RNA is filed under the name bacterium S7A-233-16S. RNAcentral describes it as "bacterial SSU rRNA". It matches the Rfam family "Bacterial small subunit ribosomal RNA", at positions 68 to 504 of the family's 1533-position model. The record is from RNAcentral.
GAUGAACCACUUCGGUGGGGAUUAGUGGCGAACGGGUGAGUAACACGUGGGCAAUCUGCCCUUCACUCUGGGACAAGCCCUGGAAACGGGGUCUAAUACCGGAUACAACACUCUCGGGCAUCCGAUGAGUGUGGAAAGCUCCGGCGGUGAAGGAUGAGCCCGCGGCCUAUCAGCUUGUUGGUGAGGUAACGGCUCACCAAGGCGACGACGGGUAGCCGGCCUGAGAGGGCGACCGGCCACACUGGGACUGAGACACGGCCCAGACUCCUACGGGAGGCAGCAGUGGGGAAUAUUGCACAAUGGGCGAAAGCCUGAUGCAGCGACGCCGCGUGAGGGAUGACGGCCUUCGGGUUGUAAACCUCUUUCAGCAGGGAAGAAGCGAAAGUGACGGUACCUGCAGAAGAAGCGCCGGCUAACUAC